UAGCGAUUUCAGGACAUAAUUGGUAUUGCCCGUGAAGGUGAAAAUGCACUUUCAACCAGAGGAUUUUACAACUGAUGCCAGGUCACCGAACGUUGAAAAGUCAUGCUAUUCCAUCGAUUUCCCCUUUCACUUCAAAGCGGAAGGCAUCCAUCAGCCAACAUAAGUGCAGCAGAAAAUAAAUCGAGCUGAGGUAACGUAGCUAACGUUACGUACCUAACUAGCUAUUGAACUACAUCUGUUUAUGUAAACCAAAAUAGAGCUCACUAGCUUUCAUAAUAUGCUUGCUGACAUUCCAGAGCAAAUCAAUGUAAUUAGCCAGCUGCUGUCUUGCGAUGUGAUUUUUAAGUUUGCAAGCUAACGUUGGCUUUGUUAGGUUACAUUAGCUGCAGCCUACCGGACCGUAUCUAACCAAUAUCUAGCUAACGAACUACCGCAGAGGCAAAGGUGGCUAUGAGUUCUAUUUCGAGUCCGAUUCAAUCAACAUCUGCAGCAGCAUCAACAUCAAGCUCAGCACCAGGAACUAGUACUAAUCCUGCUGCUGAUGAUGACAACCUCUCCACCAGCUUUAACAGUAGACCCAUUGGAUGAAAGCUUUCAGCUGGGAACAAACUCAAGCUUAACAUAAUCUGACUCGGAAACAAGCCGGGACAGCCAAAGGAGACUUGCAGUACAAACAAAUCUUCUGCAAGAGGUGGGCGGUUUAGAAGGUGUACGAGCCCAGAACCCACUACUUCAGGGAGAGACUUGUCCACCUGACUGUGGAGCAAAGAAAGGACCAGAGAGUUGUCUACAAGGAGCCAGAGUCACAGCUCCCCAAACUCAACAUCCCUGCCAACAUCGCCACAGCGCCAGAGCCUGCUAAACCCGCUGCCAUGACCCAACACAAGACAAGGUUCACCAGCUGAAGAACAUUCUGGAACAUUAAACCAACACAACAUCCCUAUUCAAUUAAACUGAUGUUGUAGUAUAAUAUAGAAUACCUAGUAUGCUCACAAUAACAUUGUGGUAUAGAUAUUGCUAGCUCUUGCACAUAUGUUUCAUACAUAUGUUUAAAAUGUCAGAUGCGAAGGAUUUACUUCAGACAGGAUUUACCCUCAUCCACAUAAUUCACAAGAGAAAGAGUGGGUAAUCUGCCUUUACCGUCGGUCCUAUUAGCCAACGUUCAAUCAUUGGAUAAUAAAAUAGACAAACUAUGAUCCCGUAUAUUCUACCAACAGGACAUAAAAAAAUGUAAUAUCUUAUGUUUCACUGAGUCAUGGCUGAAUUUGUAAACAGCUGGUGCACGAACUCUAAUGAAGGAGAUGGCUUGUGGUGAGAUAUUGUGUAGCUAAAGGUAAUCCGUCAGCCUAUUAAUUAGGAAAAUAUAAAAAAUGGCCUAUUACCUGGCUAUUCAAAAUACAAAUGGACUUUAAUUGUAGAAUAACUCCGUUAGCCGCUCUGCACAAUCAAUUAACCAACAGCGUUGCCUAGACCAGUGGUUCCCUGUGGGACAUGCCCCCUGGGGGGGUGCGACGGGUCAGCAAGGGGGGCACUGACCAGUAUUUCACUGGUCAUCCCCAAAGCCACCUACUUUGGCCGCCUUUCCUUACAGUUCUCUGCUGCCAAUGACUGGAACGAAUUGCAAAAAUCACUGAAGUUGGAGACUUAUAUCUCCCUUACUAACUUUAAAGCAUCAGCUGUCAGAGCAGUUUACCGAUCGCUGCAGCUGUACACAGCACAUCUGUAAAUAGCCCAUCCAAGCAAAUACCUACCUCAUCCCGUUUUUGUUUUUCUGCUCUUAUGCACACCAGUAUAUCUACUUGCACAUCCUCAUCUGCACAUCUAUCACUCCAGUGUUAAUUGCUAAUUUGUAAGUUAUUUGCUAGGCCUAUUUAUUGGCUUACCUCCUUACUUAAUAUGCACACACUGUAUACAGAUUUUUCUAUUGUGUUAUUGACUGUACAUUUAUCCCAUGUUAAACUCUGUUUUUUUUUGUCACACUGCUUUGCUUUAUCUUGGUCAGGUCGCAGUUGUAAAUGAGAACUUGUUCUCAACUGGCCUACCUGGUGAAAAAAAUAAAUAAUAAUAAUUGAGAUGAUAAAAAAAUAGGCAUCUAUUUCCUGUUAUUCAAAUAAAUUCAUUAAAAAUCCUACAA
This is a long non-coding RNA of Oncorhynchus keta (chum salmon), 2134 nucleotides long. RefSeq lists it as uncharacterized. The record is from RefSeq and is a predicted model, not a curated record. NCBI's taxonomy places the organism in Eukaryota, Metazoa, Chordata, Actinopteri, Salmoniformes, Salmonidae. The transcript is spliced from 3 exons.